This 459-nucleotide ribosomal RNA is filed under the name uncultured bacterium. RNAcentral's name for it is "partial 16S ribosomal RNA". It matches the Rfam family "Bacterial small subunit ribosomal RNA", at positions 338 to 795 of the family's 1533-position model. The record is from RNAcentral.
CCUACGGGUGGCAGCAGUGAGGAAUAUUGGUCAAUGGGCGCGAGCCUGAACCAGCCAAGUCGCGUGAGGGAAGACGGUCCUAUGGAUUGUAAACCUCUUUUGUCGGGGAGCAAAAGACGCCACGCGUGGCGUUCCGCGAGUACCCGAAGAAAAAGCAUCGGCUAACUCCGUGCCAGCAGCCGCGGUAAUACGGAGGAUGCGAGCGUUAUCCGGAUUUAUUGGGUUGAAAGGGUGCGCAGGCGGAAGAUCAAGUCAGCGGUAAAAUUGAGAGGCUCAACCUCUUCGAGCCGUUGAAACUGGUUUUCUUGAGUGAGCGAGAAGUAUGCGGAAUUCGUGGUGUAGCGGUGAAAUGCAUAGAUAUCACGCAGAACUCCGAUUGCGAAGGCAGCAUACCGGCGCUCAACUGACGCGCAUGCACGAAAGUGUGGGUAGCGAACAGGAUUAGAUACCCCUGUAGUC